Molecule: long non-coding RNA, 1892 nt
Organism: Dermacentor andersoni
Lineage: Eukaryota; Metazoa; Arthropoda; Arachnida; Ixodida; Ixodidae
Source: RefSeq, a predicted model, not a curated record
UUCAUCGCACCACUACUGCGUAUCAUCCGCAGACUAAUGGCAUGACCGAGCGCUUUAAUCGCACUCUUGGUGACAUGCUGGCCAUGUACGUUGCAUCCGACCAAACCAAAUGGGACCAUGUUCUACCUUUCCUGACCUACGCUUACAACACCGCCACGCAGACUACCACGGGAUUUUCGCCCUUCUUUCUCCUGUACGGACGCGAACCUUUUUCCACAAUGGAUACUAUCCUUCCGUACCGCCCUGACUCCACGGAAACGACUACCCUAUCCGAAGCUGCUGCACACGCAGAAGAGUGUCGCAAGCUUUCCCGUAUAUUUACGUCAGAAGACCAGCAACGCCAGAAGCACCAUCGCGAAAGUUCCAAUGCUCCUGUAUCGUAUGCUCCUGGCUCGCUAGUGUGGCUUUGGGUUCCAGCCUCUACCACCGGACUGUCACCGAAACUCGCGUCGAAGUACCAAGGCCCAUACCGCGUGAUCAACCAAACGUCUCCAGUCAACUAUAUUGUGGAACCCCUCGAGCUACCUUUGGAUCAUCGCCGUCGUGGACGCGAAAUUGUGCAUGCCCAGCGUCUCAAGCCCUACUAUGAUCCGCCUGUGCUGUCCUACCCGUAGGUCGCCGGGACGGCUUCCUUUUCCGCGGGGGAGAUAACUGUACUGUAAAAUAAGGAGCAGUGGGGCUGUGGCUAGGAGAGAGACAGCGACGACGAGAAAGAACAACCUUGUUUCGGUGCUCGGUCGGCUACACUACCUCUCGCUGCUUCAGCGUUCUAGUCGCGAACGCUUUCUGCUCAAAGUGCUUCGCGACAAUAUAUUUUUUUUUUCAAAUGCGCCUGCAAGUUCUUUCAUCCACAGAACCGAAUAACUCUUUGAUAAACUGAAGCUAAAGUACUGAGUUUAAUGUAUUAAACAGUUGCACGCAUGAUAAUUCACCCAUAUUUCGUACCUGUUGUUUCCAAAUGUCCUUGGUAUUCAGUUUGGUCUACCUGAGGACAUUUAUUUUUGCAGUAGCAAAGCGGUGCAUCAGGUUCUUGCAGAAAAAGAAUGCAUCAUUUCUAAUAGAUUCACGUCUUUCGUGCGUUUGCUUGUGAAUCCAGCAGUGUGAUCUCUUCUAGUGUAUAAAUGAGCGCACAAAUGUUCUCAUUUGUGAUCUUAAUAAUUCUUAUGCUGUUGACAUGCAUUGUAGUUAGACAUCAAUUUGAUGGAGAGUAGCAAUAUUUAUGUACCAUGCUGCUUAAGCAGCCUAGAACAAACAGUGUACAUCUGCAUGUGUUCUGUAGUCACACCUUCUCGCAUUUCAUAUUGCACAAUUGUGCUUAUUCCAUUUCUGAUGCAGCCAAAAUUUCUGUUCCAGACAUGCAGUAAUGAGGACGGAGCCAGUAUAAAGCAACACACUCCUUGCACUAAAAAGACGCUGCUGCCUGCUACAACAAGGUCAAUGUGUGGACUUUGGCUGCUACUACAAGAGUCUGAGCCAUGCACAUCUUCGUCAUCACAGGAGCCCCCAUCUACACCAACAGGAAUAGGCUGGAGCCGAAUUCGCAAGGCUUUACACCACGAACAAAGAAGCCAUUCCAGAAUUAUUUGGAUGAGAUAUCAAGUUUACGGACGACUGUGUCAAGAGUGAAAAGAGCCUCCGCCAUCAUUCCACCAGCACGGAUAUUGCCAGAGUCAUCCAGGUGGACCGACAAGGGAUGGCAGCGGUGUCGCCCGGAAGGCCAUUCCAGUCAGCAGCUGUACGAGGAAAAAAUGACGCAGAAAAGGUAACAGUGCGUGCACGUGGGCGCGCGACUUGAAGAGGAUGACCAGUGCGACUAGAUAUGCGUGUUGGUGGAACAAUGUAUGGCGGGAUACCCAUCGAGCUAUGAAAAAGUUUAUAGAAUAAAGAAAGAC